AUUGAACGCUGGCGGCAGGCCUAACACAUGCAAGUCGAGCGGAUGAAGGGAGCUUGCUCCUGGAUUCAGCGGCGGACGGGUGAGUAAUGCCUAGGAAUCUGCCUGGCAGUGGGGGAUAACGUCCGGAAACGGGCGCUAAUACCGCAUACGUCCUGAGGGAGAAAGUGGGGGAUCUUCGGACCUCACGCUAUCAGAUGAGCCCAGGUCGGAUUAGCUAGUUGGUGGGGUAAAGGCCUACCAAGGCGACGAUCCGUAACUGGUCUGAGAGGAUGAUCAGUCACACUGGAACUGAGACACGGUCCAGACUCCUACGGGAGGCAGCAGUGGGGAAUAUUGGACAAUGGGCGAAAGCCUGAUCCAGCCAUGCCGCGUGUGUGAAGAAGGUCUUCGGAUUGUAAAGCACUUUAAGUUGGGAGGAAGGGCAGUAAGUUAAUACCUUGCUGUUUUGACGUUACCAACAGAAUAAGCACCGGCUAACUUCGUG
Molecule: ribosomal RNA, 484 nt
Filed under: uncultured bacterium
Lineage: Bacteria
Description: partial 16S ribosomal RNA
Rfam family: Bacterial small subunit ribosomal RNA
Source: RNAcentral